UUUUGUGAUUUUUACGCUGGAUCACGACAAAGAAUACCAAGGUUAUUCAUUCAUAUUAUUAUAUUUGAAGACAAAUUGUUUCUAAGCAAAUGCUUGAAAAUGCUUGAGAUUAAAUUGUAUCGCUUUUACUUUAAAAGUUAAAUACACCUGAACUGUAAUUGAGCAAUGAUUCAUUUUCAUACCACACUUUGUGAAUCGCUGACCUCCAUGUUCUUUCCCCAUCAGCAAUACCUCCCCCAAUCAUGUAAACUGGACUUUCAAUUGUCCAUCACGAUGACCUGGCUCCAAAUCCAGUCAUUUGACUCGCUCAUCCGAUUAUGGCCUAAUUGCUAUCCCGAAUCUUCCAUACAGCUAUAUAUAUUCCAACAAAAGCUUUGCCUUGCCUUCAAACAGGCUUUUCCUGCCCUGAGGAAUGCAUCAUUACGAGGUAGUCAUGUCUUGUCAACAUCUGCACUGCCUGACUAACUGACUAUUGUGAUUAGUGCAGAUUAGACCCUAAACAGGAAUUGAGCAAAAGUCACCGCCCGCUCAGUUACACGCACGGCAACCAGUUUUCAGUGGAGUGAAAAUGGACAGAGCUUGUUUAAGGAUUUUUAGUAAAGGUAGACAAUACCAGCCAAAGGGUGGAGUUCUAAGGUUGAAUCUGAUGACGAUAUGUCAAAGAUGAGGAUUUUGGAAUGCCAGAAGCAAUGUGUUUCAUCAUUCCUGGACAAGUUUGUCCAUGUCGCCACUAAUUUCAAUCAAGAGCUCAACCAGGACUGACUGGAGCUCAUACCUUGGACUUGUCUUGUCGCUGUCUUUUUUAAAAUUUUGUUGUCAUCCAUGGACAUUGAAAAAGGUAACCAGAAAAGUAGUUGGAAGUAGGAGUAAAAAUUGUUGACCGAUACUUGACCAUUUUGGUAUACAGUACUUUUGUACUUGUGAGCAGCAUGAGUCUGCUGUGUAAUACUCUCGAUGACUCAAUUUUUUGUUUUUGAUUUGUCCUAAUCAGACUAGAUCUUUGGAAUAUAACCAGUCAUAAACUAGAUAAGGAAAGUGCUAAAGGAGACAAACUGAAAGCUUUUUUCCUUGCAAUUGCUGGCAGACUUCAGGGUGAGACACCUUAACUUUUAGGUGCAAGACUGCCGCAGUGAUGGGGGAAUGGGAUUUUCUCAGCGGACUCUUCGAUCACCUUCAGGCCCACUCGCCCAUGCUGGGCCGCUUCUGGCUCUUGCUGAUGCUGGUCUUCCGGAUCCUGAUCCUGGGAACGGUGGCAAGUGACAUGUUUGAGGACGAACAGGAAGAGUUUGCGUGCAACACGCUCCAGCCGGGCUGCAAGCAAGUUUGCUACGACCAGGCUUUCCCAAUCUCUCAGUACCGCUUCUGGGUCUUCCAUAUCGUCCUCAUCGCCACACCGUCGCUACUCUUUCUCAUGUACGCCAUGCAUCAUCACAGCAAGAGAAAUGGCUCCAAAUCACCUAAAGACUAUAGGGAAAGCCGGCAGAUAAGGAUGUUCUACAUUGUUCACGUGGCUUUCCGGUUAGUCGCCGAAGUGGGAUUUCUAGUCGGACAGUGGUGGCUUUACGGCUUCAAGGUGGAAGCCCAGUAUCCUUGCGACCGUUUCCCUUGUCCCUACACGGUGGACUGCUUUACUUCGCGCCCAGCCGAGAAAACUGUCUUUCUCUGCUUCUACUUCGCCGUCGGGGUCCUGUCUGCCUUCUCCAGCUGCGUGGAGCUCCUCUACAGCUCUGUCAAGUGGUUCUGUUCCAGGCAGAAGCGCUUACCUACACUGAUUGACGAUAGCUACAAGUUGGAAAAGCCUCAAGAGAAGUCUUCGGAAAAUACAGUGUUGGACGGAGUGCCCAAGAAGACCAGGAAGGGGAGUAGCAAGAAGGGUAAAGGGAUGCCUUACAAGUACAAGAAUGGGAAGUAUGUGAAGGGCAAUGCUUUUGUGGUCUAAGAAAUUUUCUGAUAACUUGGAUCAAAAUUGAGAAACUGACAAAAACUAAGAACUGUACUAUUAAGAUGCUGUUAAUCACGAUUACGUUCAAUAUCAGAAGUGUCAAGAGUACUCAAGUACCAAUAUUUAUGUAGAACUAGAAGUGCUGCUCUUAAGGUUACUGCUGGCAAAUGAGACAAUUUAUCAAAUCUAAGGCUUGACUUUUACAUUUCCUUCCUUGUCCUGUUGAUGUCAUUUCCAACCAAAAUAUAAUUUUGUACCACUGCGGUUUUAAUUGAACCAGAAACAUUGACGCUAAUGACCACCAAUCUUCUGUCUCUGACUUUGUUAGCCAAACUCCAUGCUUAGUUGCACCCAUCCUGAACCGCGGCAAUUCCUGUGAUGUACCACAUGGUAAUUAUCCCCAUCAUUAAAGUUUUGUGAAGCCGUGGUGUCUCAUCUCACAUUACGUCUUGACUUUAAGGAUAACUGCUGCGAUAAGAAAAAAAACACCCAUCAGCGCAUCCUGACUUUUAUUGCUUUCAUUUUCACUUCCUUAGUGUGUUUUUAUAAAGCAACGGUCAACGGUCACGUUGAUUGGAACCAAAAUAAUUUUGUGUAAAGACUUGCUUGGGUGGUAGCAUUGCAACGGAUACAAAGUGGCAACUAACUAGAUAGCAAUAAACAUGCAAUCCAGUUGCCCAUCCCAAUCCAAAUGGAUUGCACAUCAACUGUAGCGAUUCAGCAAUAUUUUGAAAUUGCAUUCUUCAGACCACCUCCAGAGGGUCCCUAUCAGCGUCAGACAACGUCACGACGACAUCAGCAGGCAUCUUUUCAGUUAGUUUCUCUCGGAAAACCGCCAGAUAGCCACGUUCGCUGUUGCUGUGGUCACUGAGGAUGACGCUGGUUCCUUUGGCAACCACAUCCAACACCUCAUGGUGGGACAUUUCACCUUAAACCAAAGAAACUUGCAUAAAAAUUGCAAAGUAACUAGCCAGGAAACUGUUGAUGAAGCUCCACCCACCGGUGACGUAGAGGUCUGCUUUAACGCCAUUCAGCACCGAGGCUCCCGAUCCGGCACAGACGGCCACGGACCUGGACAGCCUUCUUACCUUGCGUGCGUCCCUGUCCAAGGGCCAAACGGAGGUGCCGCAAACCCAAGUGGGAUUUCAUUUUGUUCACUGCUAUUGCCACGGCGACCGGUUGGUCCAAAACACUGAGGCGACCCUGACCGUGUCCUGACCAGGGGGGCUAGACACAGUCAAAAGUGGGAAAACAAAAUCAGGUAUUCGUUGAAAUGUAUUUGACAGAUCACAUCACGGAGGAAUGAGACUCUUGCGCUGUACUCCGAUUACCAACUGUACUUUGCAAUUUUAUACUUUUGCUCAUUUUUGUACUUUGCAAUUUUAUAGUUUUGCUAAUUUUUGGGGGGAUAAAACAGGACUGAUACCAAGCAUUUUCAACUCUCAUGGAACAAUUUCCAUCGCAUUGCAUAAAAGAAACGAAGUAAAUGGUUGUCUGUGUUGCUUGGCCCUGCGCACGGACAUGGGUAAGAAGCCCCGGACUGCGGAGACCUAACUAAUACGACUUGUAUCUCACCUUUUCUGCCUUUACGAUGCGGAGAGACCUGUCACAAGCGAUGAUGUGUUUUGCGACUUUCUCAACAACCGCACCUAGGACUGAAGCUCUGCAGUAUAGGUUGACUUGAGUCUGGUCGGAACUACAACUGAAGACAAAUUGGGAAAUGUAUCACAUUCAGGGAUAUAAAAUGCUGCCUAAAGAGUUCAGCUGUUCAGGUACGAUUUUUUUAAAUACUGUAAAUUUUUGUUUUCUGGCAAAAAUUUUUUAGACAUUUACCAAAUUUUUGAAACUAUAAGGCACACUUAAAAUCAUUUAAAGCAACACUAGGUAACUUUUCAACCUUUAUAAAAUAUUUUCAUAACAUUUGUGAGAUGUCGACUGACAACUAGUUGAAUGACAUUUUUAUAUCUUGAGAGGGUCUAACGCUUUCACCGGUACUAAUUACGUAACUUUGAGGAGGGUGGCAGGAACCCUGCCACAAAAAAAAAAGUACCGUAUUGGCCCGAAUAUAAGACAGCCCUGAUUAUAAGACGACCCCCUAUAUUUCAAGACUUAAGUUUGGAAAAAAAAAAAAAGACUUUUUGAACACAAAAUUAAUUUUUAUACAGACAGUAAUUACAGUACAUCUGAAAUAAAUUAGAAUAAUAUAUUUAGAGAAAAAGUUAUUUUGCCUCAUUCAAAUCUUAAUCUCUUAACAUUUAAAUAUGUAAACUAAAGUGCAAUCACAUUCGUAAAUGAAUGGCUUCUGGUUUUUGAAAUGUAAAUAAACCAAUCUAUUGUGAUGAAACAACAAAAUUGGAAUAACUGCAUUAACCAUCAAAGUGAAGUCUAACUGUAACUGUAGUCUUGAAACAAAUCUGAAUAAGGAAAAGCGUUGCAAUAAAAUAAUGCAAACUGGUUAAACUUGAGAGUAGUUGAGAUCUGUCAUGACAGAACAUCGCUUCAAUGAUAUCUGGCGACAUCUAGCGUUGUGAAUGGGUAUAAUGUCUAAACCGCGAAUAUAAGACGACCUCCACUUUUGUAGUCUUAUGUCAAUGCAAAAAACACCUGCUUAUAUUCGGGCCAAUACGGUAUUACAAAUGUCCUAAAUGCGUUACGGCAUACGUCACUUCCCCCUCUCCCCAUUCAUUAUAAAAGAUAGAAUUCGAUGCGAACGCUUACAGAAUAAACAUUGGCUCGGCUUUCACUCGCUGGCUUGACGCCCCCUCCAACCGAACUCCUCGGCGCUGCCGAGUAAGGGUGGGGUGGUUUAGCCACACCAUUGCUAACCGUCAUAUGCUAUUGUUUAGCCACAACUGGAUUCAUUACCUUAUUAUUAUUCCUCCUUCACAUAGCCGCUGGAAACAGAAAUGUUUAAUCCAUCUGCAGGUGACCGGGAGAUUGAUAUUUGAUUGAUUGAUGAUUUUACGACACUGUGCGGGUGUGCGCUGGUCCACUUUGGAAACGCAGUCUUCCUUCAGGCACAACACUACCGCUUUUGUCCACCGGCGUCGCUAAAAUCGACCAAAUGUUACCAAGUGUUGCUUUAAUUUCAGCCAAAAAUAAGCGGUGAGCCUUAUAAUUCAGUAUAGUGUAUGAAAAUAGACCUGUUUUAAAUCUUUUAAAUCACAUAGCUACAAAAAUGGCAUAUGUACUGUAUUUCCAUGUAUCUAUUUCCACCAAUAAAACUCUAACAUGAACUGUGGCAUCUCCAACCUGAGUGGAUCUUGUACUAAAACUCCAUCCAAAGCCUGGAAUUGCUUCAGGAGAACAUCUAAUACAUUAUCUUUGCAUUGGAAUUCCACUAUGUGACUGUAAGGGAAGU
This is an RNA transcript of Corythoichthys intestinalis (scribbled pipefish), 5303 nucleotides long. It is a transcript of the gene named gap junction delta-3 protein-like, with no coding region annotated. The record is from RefSeq and is a predicted model, not a curated record. The transcript has 3 exons. Lineage: Eukaryota; Metazoa; Chordata; Actinopteri; Syngnathiformes; Syngnathidae.